This 444-nucleotide ribosomal RNA is filed under the name uncultured bacterium. Its description in RNAcentral is "partial 16S ribosomal RNA". It matches the Rfam family "Bacterial small subunit ribosomal RNA", at positions 339 to 795 of the family's 1533-position model. The record is from RNAcentral.
CUACGGGAGGCUGCAGUGGGGAAUAUUGCACAAUGGGCGCAAGCCUGAUGCAGCAACGCCGCGUGAGGGAUGAAGGCCUUCGGGUUGUAAACCUCUUUUAGCAGGGAAGAAGCGAAAGUGACGGUACCUGCAGAAAAAGCACCGGCUAACUACGUGCCAGCAGCCGCGGUAAUACGUAGGGUGCAAGCGUUGUCCGGAACUAUUGGGCGUAAAGAGCUCGUAGGCGGUUUGUCACGUCUGCUGUGAAAAUCCAAGGCUCAACCUUGGACUUGCAGUGGGUACGGGCAGGCUAGAGUGCGGUAGGGGAGAUGGGAAUUCCUGGUGUAGCGGUGGAAUGCGCAGAUAUCAGGAGGAACACCAAUGGCGAAGGCACAUCUCUGGGCCGUAACUGACGCUGAGGAGCGAAAGCGUGGGGAGCAAACAGGAUUAGAUACCCCGGUAGUC